ACCUGGCUGGCUCAGUGGGUAGAGCAUGUGACUCUUGAUCUUGGGGUCAUGUGUUCAAGCCCCAUGUUGGGCA
Molecule: transfer RNA, 73 nt
Filed under: Ailuropoda melanoleuca (giant panda)
Lineage: Eukaryota; Metazoa; Chordata; Mammalia; Carnivora; Ursidae
Rfam family: tRNA
About the family: Transfer RNA (tRNA) molecules are approximately 80 nucleotides in length. Their secondary structure includes four short double-helical elements and three loops (D, anti-codon, and T loops).
Source: Rfam by way of RNAcentral